This 253-nucleotide ribosomal RNA is filed under the name uncultured bacterium. RNAcentral's name for it is "partial 16S ribosomal RNA". It matches the Rfam family "Bacterial small subunit ribosomal RNA", at positions 524 to 776 of the family's 1533-position model. The record is from RNAcentral.
UACGGAGGGAGCUAGCGUUGUUCGGAAUUACUGGGCGUAAAGCGCACGUAGGCGGCUUUGUAAGUUAGAGGUGAAAGCCCGGGGCUCAACUCCGGAAUUGCCUUUAAGACUGCAUCGCUCGAAUCAUGGAGAGGUGAGUGGAAUUCCGAGUGUAGAGGUGAAAUUCGUAGAUAUUCGGAAGAACACCAGUGGCGAAGGCGACUCACUGGACAUGUAUUGACGCUGAGGUACGAAAGCGUGGGGAGCAAACAGG